UUGCCAGCCGUGUGACAACGGUUACGAGGGUAGGCUCGACCCCGGAGAAUCGCCUGAGAAACGCGAAUACAUCCAGGAAAGGCCAGCAAGGGCGCAAAUUGCCCAUUGCCGAUUCGGCGAGGCAGCGACAAGAAAUACUGAUAUAGGGCUCUUUUGGGUCUUGUUAUUGGAAUGAGUCCAAUUUAAAUCCCUUAACCAAGGACAAUUGGAGGGCAAGUCUGGUGCCAGCAGCCCCCGGUAUUUCCAGCUCCAAUUACGUAUAUUAACCUUUGUUGAGGUUAAAAAGCUCGUAGUUGAACCUUGGGCCUGGCCGGCCGGUCUGCCUCACCGCAUGCACUGGUCCGGCUGGGCCUUUUUCCCCUGGGGGAGCCGCAUGCCCUUUACUGGGUGUGUCGGGAGAGCCAGGACCGUUACUCUGAAUAAAUUAGAUCGCUUCAAGAAGGCAUAUGCUCGAAUAGUCUAGCAUGGAAUAACGAAAUAGGACGUGUGGUUCUAUUUUGUUGGUUUCUAGGACCGCCG
Molecule: ribosomal RNA, 519 nt
Filed under: Camarotella costaricensis
Lineage: Eukaryota; Fungi; Ascomycota; Sordariomycetes; Phyllachorales; Phyllachoraceae
Description: bacterial SSU rRNA
Rfam family: Eukaryotic small subunit ribosomal RNA
Source: RNAcentral